Molecule: long non-coding RNA, 8321 nt
Filed under: Zea mays
Lineage: Eukaryota; Viridiplantae; Streptophyta; Magnoliopsida; Poales; Poaceae
Description: long non-coding RNA (ZMAY_LNC004704)
Source: RNAcentral
AAUGCACCGGGGCUUGCCUGGGAUAACACUAAGUGUUGUUAGAUGAUGACCACUUGGUGAGCAUCUUCCAUCCUGGCACUUGAUCAGAUCAUCCAUUCCUCUGGUUUAUUCGUUAGCAUCACUUUGAGGUUAAUCCAACACUUUUCCUCCACAUCGUGCGAUCAAAUAACGUACCUAAUUGAUAUGCAUAAUGCAUAUGAGUGAGAAUAAUUAUAAACAAUACAAGAUAAUAACACUAUGCCGAAGAGGGUAAUAUAUUGCUAGUAAGGCAUUACAACUCCUAGGCAAACACUAGCUACCUUUGAAUUAACAACGAUCAUGAUCCUCGAGCUAGGGGGACCUAAUUCAAAUAUUUGGAAAUCAUAACUAAACAUAUGCCUUAAGCUAAAGCAUAACAUUGAUAGGUUAUUACCCUUAGACUUGUCACUUUUUAACACUCAAAACUUGGAAAAGGUGAUAGAACAAGCAUCAAGAAAGCAGUACACUAGAACUUAGGUUCACUAGUGAUAGUCACCUAAGACUUAGAUUAAAGAUAUGAGUAGCUUAACUAGUUUCCUAAACUUCUUUCUCAAAUUAACUUAUUGUAACACACCAACUAAUAAAUCAUCACAUUUCUAUUCAAUCACACAAGUAGAACACUUAUCAUACAACAUAAAGUUCCAUAGAAUUUACAUCCUCAACAAUUAAAGAUCUAAAGCAUACAAGAUGAAAUAUAAUAAGUGUUCCAUACUUUCCUUAGAUUACUGAGUAUAGCACCUUAAGCUUGGGACACUUGUUCACUUGAAUUUAGCAAGUACAAGACUUCACCAAUCAAGAACUAACUAAAUUUACUUAGUCAAACAAUAAGAAGGAAAUGAAUUAAUCAAAUAUAAUAAGGCAUUUCGAUAAACACUUCAUAUGCAACAAGUUGUCAUCAAUCAAGGGUAAAAAAAAAUGACUAAUCCAACCUAGCCAAACAAGAGCAACUUCAAGAAAUCCACUUAAUGCUUGCUGGUUUUGUACAGCAGAACAACAGCUAGUUGUUUUAUUUAUAACUUACACAAUAUUCAUCCAAAAAUAGUAAACUAAGACUUUUUGGAAAGCUUAUAAAGUCCUCUAAAAUUUUGGUAUUAUCAUCACAAUGAGAUUCGACAUUUAGAAAUGUCAAACAGUACUAAACGCAAUUUCUGUCCAGAUUUGGACAGAAUUCGACUACUUACUUCAUUAAUUCAUAACUAAAGUUUCAGACAUCCAAAUCAGGUGAUUCUAGACUUUUUAGAAAGCUAAUAGAAUUGUCUAUAAUUCAUUUAUAAUCAUCUCAAAGUGAUUCAAUGUGUAUCGAAGUCAGUUAAUACAAACAAACAUUGCUGUCCAGAUUUGGACAGAUUCAGACUCUAUAGUUUGAACAGCUGUAACUUGGUCUCUAGACCACCAAAAAUGGUGCUCCAAAAUUUGUUGGAAAGCUUAAGCAAAGUACUACAAUUCUCCUAUAAUUACUAAGAGCUUACUCUCAGUUUAACUUGGGCAAACAAGGUCAUUUUCGAAAUCUGUACAGAAUCUGGACAGAUUCUGAAACUAGACUUAGAAAAAUCAUAACUCCUAAACUACUGAACCUAUGGUCAUGAAAUUUUUACACAAGUAAGAUAAAGAAGUUAUCUACAAGUUUUAUAUAUAACACUUCUACAGAAAACAUGGUUUACUUCAUUGAACUAGCUGCGCAAUUAAAACUGUACCUGCUGCCCGAAACAGUAAAAAUUCAAUUUAACUCCUAUUUUGGUUAACCACAGCUUAACAACGCAUCAAUCAAAGCAUUCCUUGCCUAAACAGAACCAUCCUCUGUGUUUUAUAACAUCCAUUUAAUUAUACUUGACAUAUGUACUCUCUAAAACACUUCUCGUAAAAUUUGCACCUAAUACCUAAACUUCCCCUCAAACAACACUUCUACUAUCCAAUCAUGACGUCAAAAAAAUCAUGACACACAACCAAAUUAUUUCAUCAUACAUCAAACACAACCACAAUGAUAAUUAUCUAACCAAACCAUUUAUUAAUUAAAUAGCCACAGAAAUGACUUGGCUCACCACAUCAUGAUCCGACUUGAUUUUUCUUGCAAGAACGACGACAGUUCCUUGGUCUCCCAUUUCGUCGAACACCCGGCGGGCGUCAUAUUGGACUGUGCUUCUUCUCCACUAAAUCCUGGGAUUUCCCCUCACAUCUCACACAUAAGCACACACAUACUCACAAUCAACCACAAACCACAUAUAUCGAUUAAGGAGAUAAGUAGCAUAAGACAAAGGGACCUCACCGAUGACUAUGAAUUGCACAAGUCAACAACUAGGCAUCCAUGGAGGGAGGUGCUGCUGUUCCUAGCAGAGAGGGGCUGGGCGAGCUCCUGCAGAGGGGAGUACGCCGAGCAGGAGGAGCCACCAUGGGCGAGCUCACCAUGGGAGGAAGUGAGGGCGCAGCUAGCUGCCAUCAAUGGAGAGCUGGAGACGUCAUGUGCAGCUCACAUCAGGAAGGGAUGAGCGCCAUGCUGCUAGCAAGGGUAUAGGGGAUGGUGGCGAGCAGAGGGGCUAGGAGAUGAGAGGGCACGGUGGAGGGGAUGGGGGAUAGGCGGCCAUGGGAGAAGCCAGGGAAGACAACGGCAGCUGCUGCUCCACAACUGCAAUCAGAGAAGGAGACACCGUGUGGGGGAAGCAAGGGAGGACGGCAUGGUGGAGGUAGCCAGGGCAGAGCGCCGUGAGGAGAUGAAGCCUGGCUUCGGUCGGCUGGGAGAAUUCCAGAAGGAAGACCACGUGGGGGAGGAGGUGGCAGUCUAGGAAGAGAAUAAGAAUUCAAAUUUUUUGUUUCUCCAAAUUUUUCUUUUACAAAAGACUACAAAAUUUAACUCUGUUCUUAAGUGGGGAUUUUUAGUGAGAUGCAAAUGGACCAACCAAAAUAAUAUUGGUUAUAAGAUUUCAGACGUGGUUGAUUUGGUUAAAAUCAGUUGUACAUUCAUCUGAUCAAUAAAUUUUUAAACAGGCACCAGACUCGACAUAUCGCGAAAUAAAUACGCGGGAUCGAUGUAGCAUCGAAAUUGUGAUCCUUUCGGAAGCGACGUCACGCAUCAUUCACGGGGCGAGAAGCUGGGCGCUGUCCAGACACCGGUUAGCACCCGCCACACGCGUCACGGUGUCAGGCCACAGAGAGACACGUGCAACGCAAGCGUGAAAGAAUUUCAAAUGAAGUUUAAGAAGCUACUUUUGAUUUCAAAAAUUAUAGUUUAGGCAAGACGUCGAGGGCUCAACCCAAACGAUACUGGAUUCGAUGUUCCAAAGAUUACCAAAGGCUGAAUUUUAAAAGAAAUGGAUUUGGAAAAAUUUAGACAGACGGAGGCAGACACGAGAUCAAAAUCGUGAUAAACGAGGUUGAUUAAAAAUUAGUGUCCAAUUUAUUUACCGAUAUCCCGCGCUUAAAUCCAUAGUCGCUGUUGAACGGGAGACAAACACCUGGGGUGUUACAACCUUCCCCCUUAAAAGAAUCUCGUCCCGAGAUUCAGAACGAAAGACUUCUAAGAGUAGAGAGGCAUGUAACUCUUGUCCAUAUCAGUUAUAAUCAUAAGACAGUUCCAAGCAAAGGCGAGUGUCUCAGAAUGUUGUUUCUCUAGUGGACAUAUCAUGUAUAGCCUUACGCUAAUUUAGAGAUGUCCACCAAUAGAGACGAUGUCUGCCAGAAGAACACAUAAGGUUUCACGUGUGCAGUUUGUUUUUUUUCUGAUGACACUGUACUAUCUGAGUCUGUUGAGCAAGCGACAGAUAUGCGAUUUUACCCAAACAGAAUCAGAUGCAACCUCUUGGGUAGAAAUCCAUUUGGUCAGGUUGUUCAUCCGUUUCUUCCAUGCGAAAUGAACAGACUUGGUUCGGGAAUACAUGGAUAAAAUAAGAGAGCGAAUGAACAAACUCCUGCAUCUCAGCAGCUGGGAAAGUCAAUCUCCAUUUUGAGAGCUAACCAGUUGUUUUCCCACACUAAAAAGCUCCAAGGCUUCACCUUUACAAAAAGGACAUAAAGGGAACUUGUAUGAGUAGUCACUACCAAGAUCAAAAGAAAAGAGAUCACAUAUGAAAGUGGUAUGCUCGUUUGAUCCAACAGAGACGAUAAAUGUUGCUUGAUCACUUCACAAACAACAUAGAAAUUGUUUCAAGGAAGUAGUUUACGGAAGACAACAUAUCAGUGUAGUUCCACAAUGGAUCAUGACUAGAGACCUUGAUACCAGCAUCCGACGAGUAGCACAUCCCUGUGUGCGCAUUCAAAGGAGGCUCUCAGUUUCGCUGCGGCACCAUAAGUCCUUAAUCGUGACACCACUACCGAACUGACACCAAUAACAAUCUCACAUAGCAAAAAUAGAUUGUGCCAAGAUAACACAUUGACAUAGUCUCAUAAUGGAUUACAACUACUAACUGUGAUACCAGCGCGUGCCGAGUAGCACAACCAUGUGUGCGCACCCACAGAAGGCCCUCGAUUUCGUCGCAGCACCAUCGGUUUUAGUCAUAACACCAUUACUAGAUGUAACCAAUAAGAAAUCUCAUGCGGUACAAAUGGAUUGAGCAAGGGUGACAAUAUACAAUGAGAUACUCCACAUGUAAGAAUGAUUACAAGUAGAGAUCCAAAUAGAUCAUGGCCCGAUGAACUGAACAAGGCAUGGCCAUGACCUAAACUUAUUGGUGAGCGAGUACGAUGGGAGACUGAUACUUCAUCCCCAAGCAUAUUUCUAUGCCCAUCGCAGAAAUUACAAGGUCAAGGAUUAUUAUCUGAUUAGAUACGGAGGGAAAACAAUCAUAGGAUUAAGUUGGUAUGCCUUUGAUAGAUAUGAGAAAACCAAAGGCACCGAACUCAGUAAAAUGAUCGGACAUAUCUUUCCUAAGUUAGGUCGAUAAAGUCACAUGGCGGUCCAUAAAAACAGGCAAACUCGAUAAGGUACAUCAGCUUGCACCAACCGAACAAAGGUAUGUUUUAGGAUGAAAAUAGGACCAUAAGAGCUACAAGUUGGCUGUUAAGAUCAGGGGACUCGAGAUUAUUAUUUUUUUAAGUUUGAGUGCAUCUUAGGUCCAAUAAGGGGAUUACCUAAACAUCUAUUUAUAUGACCUUGAUCACAAAGUAACGAUGGAAAAAUUCAGACUCGUCCGCAUUUGGAAACUGGGGAAAAUUUCAGGGGAUUAACAUCGAUUUGGGUCAUGGCUCCUAGAUGAGGACAUGUCCAAAUUUUUAGUUUACACAAACAUACCACCAACAUUCUAUCAGCAGAAACACACCAGAACAAACACAAGUUAGACUAGCGGUCAAAUUAAGAAGAACCUCAGGCCACAUAAAAACAUGUCUAAAGGACACAUCAAACAAAGCUAGAAAUUACUUAUAGGACAGUAAUGCUUCACACAGUUUUCAGUUAUUUAUUAUCAGAAUAAAGAUGAGAAAAGCAUGUUCAUUUACAAUCACCUAUUAUUAGAAUAAAGGUGAGGGAAGCAUUUCUGUGCGCAAACAACAAACACAAUGCAACAAUCAAGAUGCAUGCUCGUCCUAUUCGUCCUCACGAAUUUUGCCAACUUAAUAUGGCAAUAGCGCUCUAUAUCGGUGGCAUAUCUACGUCUCUCUCGAUAUAUUGCUAGUCGUCAGCUACACAUACGAGUUCGAAGUUAGUGUACCUGUAGAAAAAUCCAUUACAGCCCAAUUCCCAAUGAUGCAAUUCACACAUGACAGUUUAUCACAGUUUAUACUCCAUAUAUUGCUAUAUGGAGGCCAGCUCCUCAUUAAGCGCCGAGCCACGCAUAGGCGCCGCUGCCACACUUUAACCACAGGGCAGCCCAUUGUGGUACAUUACCUUCUUACCUAAGCGUAGGUGUGUCGUUGCAAGUACAUUACACUUCUCAGUAUUCCCAUGUCUGUAUACCCAUACACAUCCAUGGGGUACUGAAUCCCAAAAAGUAAUUACUCCACUUCGCAGCCUUCAUAUAUACAUAUGUGUAACAUGUAUAUAAUCAAGCGCUUUUUAUGCUCUUCCCUAGACCGACGGUUGUUCGGUCAUGCUCUCACAUCUCACCUUACCUUGAGCGUCGAUCCAUUCAAAACUGAAUGACCUCAAAAAUAACAUUACACAUGUAUGCAUUACCCUUCCCAGAUUGUGGGUUAGUAUUCUGAACUAAGCCACCUAAUAGUCCUUAAUUUAGGGCUUAACAGAGGAUGUCGCUAGCAUUAUAGUUUUUCAAAUAUGUUUUUCAAAACCAAACAAUGUGUUUAGUUGAAAAUAGAUUUUUCAAAACCAAAAUUUUGUUUUAAAAAUACGUAUGUGACCGUAUCAUACUUAAUCAAGCUCCGAUGCCAGCUGUCGCAGAACCUCCCAAGUUAUCGGGCCCACAUGCACCUGUCCUUGUCUCAAAGACCUCAGACAGCUAUGCAUGUGCACCAAACAACUUAACAGGAUCUGUACGAGUGCCCCGAGGACCCCGGAUAAAUGACUUACCGCCAAGAUCGCAAGAUUAAGUAAACACAAAUCACACACCAAUAUUUGCAGCGAAAAUAAAUUAUUUAUUACAAAAUGGUUACAAGUUACAACAUUUACAAGUUAUAGCAAGAUUACAAUAUAUAUCAUCGGAGUUGGUUACAAAAGAAAUUGAUUCAAAAAGAUUACAAUUUGAAUGUAUAAAACAUUUAUAAGUUUUAAAAUACAUGCUAGCUUAAGUGACAAUCCUCAAUAAAGAAGCUAAAGAUGGGAUAUACUUAUAUAAGAAGGCCGAGCCCACCGGCACUUAGCAGCAUCCACAACAGAACAAAAUUAUAACCUGAAAAACAACAGGGAAUAAAACCCUGAGUACACAAUUACUCAGCAAGACUUACCCGACUAAAGAAAAGACUCUCAAGGGUAUGCUGGUUUAUUGGGAAUCAAGGUAAGGCUCAUCAAAUUUCAAAGACUCGUUUUUGCAGAAAAGCAUACUAGUAGUGGAUCCUUAUGCCAAAAUUUUACUUCACAAGUUAAGUACUUUUCCUGAAUCUAGAUUUGCCUAAUCUAGAGCAUUCACUUGUCCUACACUAGCUUCCUUUUAUCAACUUUAGUUUCACUUGUUAUCUACGAUGCAGGGCAGUGAUCCAGUCUUCAUAUCCGAGAAGUAACGGCGAUCCGAAUCGAUUAAUACUCAGCUGAGGAUCUCCAACCACACGAUAUAUGUAGCACUUAACCCUUGCAUAUGUCAACUCGCCACCGGGUUUCUCAAGACCAGAACGGGUUCACGCGACCCGAGAGUACAGCACUCCACCGUCCAGCCAUUGGCCUGGUUGGUACACGUUACUCUCGCCAUGGUGCCCGCCAUGUUUCCGAGAGUACAGCACCCCACCUUCCAGUCUCUUGCCACGGAGGGUACAAGCUACUCUCGCCAUCGCUCCACUUCCAGUGCGUGCGAGCUGUUCUGGUAUUGGUCCGACCGAGGCAAAGCUUACCCAUGAUGAGGCAUGUGGCCAGUUAAAGGGUCCUAGAUCAGCAGGCCAACAAUCGGAACGGUCCUUAAGCGACACAGACGAGCGACCUUUCCUGCUCAGUGUCUGGUCUAGAUUUAUUCCAACCAUUCUCCCAUUUUUGGUACCCGACAGGGGUACUUUUUCUGGAUGUUGAAUCCAUCAUGGCCAUAUGGAUUCACCAUCCCAAUUUCUUGUUCACAACAAUUUCCCAUAUCCCGUGUAACACAUCAUCUUUUUUUAAAAAGAACAACUUUUAAUUAUCUAAGCAGGGCUAAGCAUCUUUAGUUCUCUUUAUAAAAAGAGGAAUCAAGGAAGAUAAUCAAAUUCCAAGGAAUGGCAAUGCAUCAAUUGUUUCAUCACUCAACUCCUAUCACCUAAUGCAACAUAUAAGUGAUAAAAGUUUUAUAACAACAAGGAGGUGGCAAAUGCACCGGGGCUUGCCUGGGAUAACACUAAGUGUUGUUAGAUGAUGACCACUUGGUGAGCAUCUUCCAUCCUGGCACUUGAUCAGAUCAUCCAUUCCUCUGGUUUAUUCGUCAGCAUCACUUUGAGGUUAAUCCAACACUUUUCCUCCACAUCGUGCGAUCAAAUAACGUACCUAAUUGAUAUGCAUAAUGCAUAUGAGUGAGAAUAAUUAUAAACAAUACAAGAUAAUAACACUAUGCCGAAGAGGGUAAUAUAUUGCUAGUAAGGCAUUACAACUCCUAGGCAAACACUAGCUACCUUUGAAUUAACAACGAUCAUGAUCCUCGAGCUAGGGGGACCUAAUUCAAAUAUUUGGAAAUCAUAACUAAACAUAUGCCUUAAGCUAAAGCAUAACAUUGAUAGGUUAUUACCCUUAGACUUGUCACUUUUUAACACUCAAA